This 207-nucleotide unclassified non-coding RNA is filed under the name Hevea brasiliensis (rubber tree). The record is from RNAcentral. Lineage: Eukaryota; Viridiplantae; Streptophyta; Magnoliopsida; Malpighiales; Euphorbiaceae.
GGGCGGAGGAUGGCGAGUCGUGGAUUGGGGACGGGGAGGCGGUGGGGCCCGCGGGGGACGGCGCAGGCGCCGGAGAGGACUCGGGUGCAGCGAAGACCGCCGCGGAGGUGACGAGGAGGAGCAGGGGGAAUAACGCCGCCGGCGCCGCCAUGAAUGCUAGAUCUGAGCGGUGCGGUUACCGGAUUUUGUGGGGUAGGGUCACCGCUC